GUGCUCGCUUCAGCAGCACAUAUACUAAAAUUGGAACGACACAGAGAAGAUUAGAAUGGCCCCUGCGCAAGGAUGACAUGUAAAUUCACGAAGCGUUCCAUAUUUUU
This 107-nucleotide small nuclear RNA is filed under the name Procavia capensis (Cape rock hyrax). Lineage: Eukaryota; Metazoa; Chordata; Mammalia; Hyracoidea; Procaviidae. The record is from RNAcentral.